UGUAGAGUAGCUCAAUGGUAGAGCACAACGCUGUUAACGUUGCCGCUGUGGGUUCGAGUCCCACUUCUACAGCCA
This 75-nucleotide transfer RNA is filed under the name Spirochaetota bacterium. Its description in RNAcentral is "Spirochaetes bacterium tRNA-Asn". It matches the Rfam family "tRNA". Rfam says of the family: Transfer RNA (tRNA) molecules are approximately 80 nucleotides in length. Their secondary structure includes four short double-helical elements and three loops (D, anti-codon, and T loops). The record is from RNAcentral. Lineage: Bacteria; Pseudomonadati; Spirochaetota.